This 2302-nucleotide ribosomal RNA is filed under the name Klebsiella pneumoniae. Its description in RNAcentral is "bacterial LSU rRNA". It matches the Rfam family "Bacterial large subunit ribosomal RNA", at positions 1 to 2332 of the family's 2925-position model. Lineage: Bacteria; Pseudomonadati; Pseudomonadota; Gammaproteobacteria; Enterobacterales; Enterobacteriaceae. The record is from RNAcentral.
UUAAGCGACUAAGCGUACACGGUGGAUGCCCUGGCAGUCAGAGGCGAUGAAGGACGUGCUAAUCUGCGAAAAGCGUCGGUAAGGUGAUAUGAACCGUUAUAACCGGCGAUGUCCGAAUGGGGAAACCCAGUGCAAUUCGUUGCACUAUCGUUAACUGAAUACAUAGGUUAACGAGGCGAACCGGGGGAACUGAAACAUCUAAGUACCCCGAGGAAAAGAAAUCAACCGAGAUUCCCCCAGUAGCGGCGAGCGAACGGGGAGCAGCCCAGAGUCUGAAUCAGCUUGUGUGUUAGUGGAACGGUCUGGAAAGUCCGACGGUACAGGGUGAUAGUCCCGUACACCAAAAUGCACAGGUUGUGAACUCGAAGAGUAGGGCGGGACACGUGGUAUCCUGUCUGAAUAUGGGGGGACCAUCCUCCAAGGCUAAAUACUCCUGACUGACCGAUAGUGAACCAGUACCGUGAGGGAAAGGCGAAAAGAACCCCGGCGAGGGGAGUGAAAAAGAACCUGAAACCGUGUACGUACAAGCAGUGGGAGCACCUUCGGGUGUGACUGCGUACCUUUUGUAUAAUGGGUCAGCGACUUAUAUUCUGUAGCAAGGUUAACCGUAUAGGGGAGCCGCAGGGAAACCGAGUCUUAACUGGGCGUUAAGUUGCAGGGUAUAGACCCGAAACCCGGUGAUCUAGCCAUGGGCAGGUUGAAGGUUGGGUAACACUAACUGGAGGACCGAACCGACUAAUGUUGAAAAAUUAGCGGAUGACUUGUGGCUGGGGGUGAAAGGCCAAUCAAACCGGGAGAUAGCUGGUUCUCCCCGAAAGCUAUUUAGGUAGCGCCUCGUGAACUCAUCUUCGGGGGUAGAGCACUGUUUCGGCUAGGGGGUCAUCCCGACUUACCAACCCGAUGCAAACUACGAAUACCGAAGAAUGUUAUCACGGGAGACACACGGCGGGUGCUAACGUCCGUCGUGAAGAGGGAAACAACCCAGACCGCCAGCUAAGGUCCCAAAGUCAUGGUUAAGUGGGAAACGAUGUGGGAAGGCACAGACAGCCAGGAUGUUGGCUUAGAAGCAGCCAUCAUUUAAAGAAAGCGUAAUAGCUCACUGGUCGAGUCGGCCUGCGCGGAAGAUGUAACGGGGCUAAACCAUGCACCGAAGCUGCGGCAGCGACACUAUGUGUUGUUGGGUAGGGGAGCGUUCUGUAAGCCUGCGAAGGUGACCUGUGAGGGUUGCUGGAGGUAUCAGAAGUGCGAAUGCUGACAUAAGUAACGAUAAAGCGGGUGAAAAGCCCGCUCGCCGGAAGACCAAGGGUUCCUGUCCAACGUUAAUCGGGGCAGGGUGAGUCGACCCCUAAGGCGAGGCCGAAAGGCGUAGUCGAUGGGAAACAGGUUAAUAUUCCUGUACUUGGUGUUACUGCGAAGGGGGGACGGAGAAGGCUAUGUUAGCCGGGCGACGGUUGUCCCGGUUUAAGCAUGUAGGCUGAUUGUCCAGGCAAAUCCGGAUAAUCAAGGCUGAGGUGUGAUGACGAGGCACUACGGUGCUGAAGUAACAAAUGCCCUGCUUCCAGGAAAAGCCUCUAAGCAUCAGGUAACAUUAAAUCGUACCCCAAACCGACACAGGUGGUCAGGUAGAGAAUACCAAGGCGCUUGAGAGAACUCGGGUGAAGGAACUAGGCAAAAUGGUGCCGUAACUUCGGGAGAAGGCACGCUGGUGUGUAGGUGAAGCCCCUGCGGGUGGAGCUGAGACCAGUCGAAGAUACCAGCUGGCUGCAACUGUUUAUUAAAAACACAGCACUGUGCAAACACGAAAGUGGACGUAUACGGUGUGACGCCUGCCCGGUGCCGGAAGGUUAAUUGAUGGGGUUAUCCGUAAGGAGAAGCUCUUGAUCGAAGCCCCGGUAAACGGCGGCCGUAACUAUAACGGUCCUAAGGUAGCGAAAUUCCUUGUCGGGUAAGUUCCGACCUGCACGAAUGGCGUAAUGAUGGCCAGGCUGUCUCCACCCGAGACUCAGUGAAAUUGAACUCGCUGUGAAGAUGCAGUGUACCCGCGGCAAGACGGAAAGACCCCGUGAACCUUUACUAUAGCUUGACACUGAACAUUGAGCCUUGAUGUGUAGGAUAGGUGGGAGGCUUUGAAGCGUGGACGCCAGUCUGCGUGGAGCCAACCUUGAAAUACCACCCUUUAAUGUUUGAUGUUCUAACGUUGGCCCCUGACCGGGGUUGCGGACAGUGUCUGGUGGGUAGUUUGACUGGGGCGGUCUCCUCCCAAAGCGUAACGGAGGAGCACGAAGGUUAGCUAAUCCUGGUC